UACUGAAUUGCAUUUUAAUACAGACCCAAUCUUUGGGUUCAGUCAGAGACAUCUAAAGUUUGUUUCAACUUUUCAGUCUGGGAACAGAUGGACAUUCAGAAUGCGGCAUCGUUGUUCUCCAACAUUUCCUCCCCAGCAGUUAUACAAUGUUGUUUUACCCUGUGGCUGUAUUCUCACUCUCAACUCUUUAACACUGGAAGUGUGGAAAUCCUUUUAUGUGAAUGUCCAUGCUAUUCUUUAAGUACUGCGUAUAUUACAUUUGAUCAUUUUAUCACAUUGCUUUAACUAUACUGUAGUUUCACAUUCUUAUUUAUCUCCUAAUUUUGCAGACUCUGAAAAUAAUCAGUGUUGGUGUCCGGAAGUGGAAUGAAAGUCUGAAAAUAAUUGAUGAUCUCUCAAUAGCAACCACUAGGUGGCAAAACAGACACUUCAUGGAUUAAAGAUGGGAGUUUUCCAAGGGCAUGCACAAUUCCUGCUGUUAAAACUGGCAGAUGGCAAAAGGUCAGUAUCCUUUUGUGCUCAUGUAAGUAUGGCACAACAGUGAAUUUGGACCACAGGAAAAUCUCUGGAUUUACUAAUGUUAUGUUUUGCUUGGAAAGGACAAAGAGAGGAAUCAAGAGGAGAGAUUUCAACAGCCCCGUAUGAAUGAAUCUAGCUACCUAGCUCUUACCUUCAACUACGCAAACUGCUGAUGUUAUACAUUUAAGGAUCAUUUCUUAUCUCCCCUACCCCUUUACCCGUGGGAGUCUGUCCUUCCCUCCCUUCUUUCCUUCUCAGAGACUGGCAUGCCAUUGCUAUGGCCAGUCUCUUCGACACAUUCUCACCCCUAAAUGAAAUAAAUCCUGAGCCAGUAGCAGUUUGGGGAGAAAAUGUGUUUCUUUCCUCUUAAAACAUUAAGGAGCCUCAACCGGGGUUUUCUAAUUUUCAUCCUCCUCUUCCCUCAACAGCAGACUUGUUAAUUGUCUGUCUCCCUUAUCUGAGCAGCCUUUGCUUCAGUAAGUAUGGCCAGGCCUAACCUGUCUUCUCAUUUAGUCUUAUUCAUGAACAGUGGUUGUGGUGCUGUUCUUUUGGAAAUCUCCCAUGUAAUUAUAUCCAUGUCAAUACAGAUAGAUAUAGAUAGAGAAUCUAUUGCAGGAAGAAUGAGCCAGUAAUUAGGAUGUGUGGUCUAUCAACAAGAGGAGGCUAGAUGACUUCAAACAUCAGAAGGGAAACAAUGAAGGUAAGGAAGUGCAGGGUGUGACUCCUUGUUAAUGACCACACACACAACCUCCUUGGGUGCCUAUACACAUGCAGCAAGGCUGCUCUGAACCACUGUAACCAAAUCUGCUGAAGUGUGGUAAUUACCUUACUCCAGCAGACUCCAGCAUCACGUCCAUCCCUGCACUGAAAAAUGGUGGCAGAGGUGCUCUAACAAAGCUCAUUUGACAAGAUUUUGUUAAAGCACCCCCGCUGCCAUUUUUCAGCGUGGGGACACUGAUUCAUGUGAUGCUCCGGGCACUUUAAUUAGAGUGGUUCAAAGACAAUCUAAUUAAAACACCCUCCCACUCCUGGAGCAUGUGUAUCCAUGCCCCUUGUGCACAGCUGCUGGACUCUCUUGAUGAUAAUCCCUGACUUUCACCAGACUCUAGGUGUUGUGUUGUGGGGUCUGUUCGUUGAGUCAGGAGCCCCUUUAACAAAGAGGUUUCUUUAUUCAUGCUGCCAGCACCCACACAGCCAUCAGACUCUCCUCUCCAGCUCUGCCUCUAACUCUGCCUCUUUUAAAGAUAUACAAAUCAGAGUGAGGGUUGAGUUUCUCGCAGAGUAGAUAUAGGCUCCACAGAGGCCUCUGUUCAGUGUGUUCCCCACUGCCGGGGCUUAUCAGGGAAAGGCAUGGUUUCAUCUUUUUCUGAAAGAGAGAGAAGGGGGACUUGGUGCCUGUUUCCCAAAUGGCUUUAAAAAAAAAAAAAUCUGGGAUUGAAAGAAAAGUAGCACGAGCAUAGUUUACAUUUCUUUUCUGUGUGUCUUUCAUUUCUUGGGCAUUUAUAUGACACCAAUCAAUAUGGCACCUAGGCUGUAUUAUAGGCAAACAUGUUAAUACAAGUUACAAACUGAAUCAGGAUUGAACAAGGAGAUAAACAGAAUAUCGAAUAGUUACUCACUUAUUGAAUCCAAUCCUUUCUAUGCAUUGAAUGAGGCAGUGGAAAUACAGCAUGUUGUCAUAUAAUUACAGAUGGAAUCAAAAUGCGUAUUGGAUCAAAUUCAAGUUGUACAGACAUUUUCUAGCACAGUAAAUACAGCUCGUUAUGGAAUAAGUGGCCCACGAUUAGCAGCUUUGGAGAAGACUGGUAUUUCCAUGCUGUGAUGAAUCUGCUGACAGUGGUUCUUGCCAUGGCUCCUGACUGGCGUGCAUGGUAGGCGUGGCAGGAUGUUUGGUGGGGGGGGGAGGUCCAGGGUUGGUGAAGGAUGGAUGGAGAUCAGAGGGAUGAGGCAGACCACAAUAAAAGCAUAGCAAAGCACGGGGUAAAUAAUCAUGUUGCACCAUGUCACGCUUUGGGUUAUGUUUGUCUCAGCUGCCAAAACUGGCCCAUUGCGAGGCCUCAGAUAUCAGCCACGUCUACAUAACAUGUUUCUAGCACUCGCUUAGUCAUCGUGUCUUUGUCAACAGACCCAAUUUUUUAAAGUCGACCAAAACUCACAAUAGCACAUCAGUGAGUUGAUGUCGGGCCUUUAUAUUAUUAAGAGGUUACCCAGGGCAAACUAUUAAAAAAACUGGUUAACUUAGCUUUUAUACAAAUGGAGGGAAUUACAAGCUGCAUUAAUUGUAGUCACUGAUAAUAUUGUGAAAGCAAUUUUAAGUAAAAAGUGCCACUUAUGGUAGAAGCACACUUAAGGAUUUUGUAAUUAUAAAUAUUUGUACUGUUAAGUGAAUUGCAUUAAAGUAUUUGUUGUUCUUGCUUUA
Molecule: long non-coding RNA, 2938 nt
Organism: Alligator mississippiensis (American alligator)
Lineage: Eukaryota; Metazoa; Chordata; Crocodylia; Alligatoridae
Exons: 2
Source: RefSeq, a predicted model, not a curated record